GGGUGAGUAACGCGUAUCCAACCUGCCCACCACUUGGGGAUAACCUUGCGAAAGUAAGACUAAUACCCAAUGAUAUCUCUAGAAGACAUCUGAAAGAGAUUAAAGAUUUAUCGGUGAUGGAUGGGGAUGCGUCUGAUUAGCUUGUUGGCGGGGUAACGGCCCACCAAGGCAACGAUCAGUAGGGGUUCUGAGAGGAAGGUCCCCCACAUUGGAACUGAGACACGGUCCAAACUCCUACGGGAGGCAGCAGUGAGGAAUAUUGGUCAAUGGACGAGAGUCUGAACCAGCCAAGUAGCGUGCAGGAAGACGGCCCUAUGGGUUGUAAACUGCUUUUAUAAGGGAAUAAAGUUAGUCUCGUGAGACUUUUUGCAUGUACCUUAUGAAUAAGGACCGGCUAAUUCCGUGCCAGCAGCCGCGGUAAUACGGAAGGUCCGGGCGUUAUCCGGAUUUAUUGGGUUUAAAGGGAGCGUAGGCCGGAGAUUAAGCGUGUUGUGAAAUGUAGACGCUCAACGUCUGCACUGCAGCGCGAACUGGUUUCCUUGAGUACGCACAAAGUGGGCGGAAUUCGUGGUGUAGCGGUGAAAUGCUUAGAUAUCACGAAGAACUCCGAUUGCGAAGGCAGCUCACUGGAGCGCAACUGACGCUGAAGCUCGAAAGUGCGGGUAUCGAACAGGAUUAGAUACCCUGGUAGUCCGCACGGUAAACGAUGGAUGCCCGCUGUUGGCCUGAAUAGGUCAGCGGCCAAG
RNAcentral lists this ribosomal RNA (746 nucleotides) under uncultured bacterium. Its description in RNAcentral is "bacterial SSU rRNA". It matches the Rfam family "Bacterial small subunit ribosomal RNA", at positions 104 to 851 of the family's 1533-position model. The record is from RNAcentral.